GUCUGCGUAGCUCAGCAGGAUAGAGCGUUCGCCUCCUAAGCGAAAGGUCGGAAGUUCGAAUCUUCUCGUGGACG
RNAcentral lists this transfer RNA (74 nucleotides) under Lachnospiraceae bacterium. RNAcentral describes it as "tRNA-Arg". It matches the Rfam family "tRNA". From Rfam's summary of the family: Transfer RNA (tRNA) molecules are approximately 80 nucleotides in length. Their secondary structure includes four short double-helical elements and three loops (D, anti-codon, and T loops). Lineage: Bacteria; Bacillati; Bacillota; Clostridia; Lachnospirales; Lachnospiraceae. The record is from RNAcentral.